UCCCUGGUAGCUCAGCUGGUAAAGAAUCUGCCUGCAAUGCAUGAGACCCUGGUUCGAUUCCUGGGUUGGGAA
This is a non-coding RNA of Bos taurus (domestic cattle), 72 nucleotides long. NCBI's taxonomy places the organism in Eukaryota, Metazoa, Chordata, Mammalia, Artiodactyla, Bovidae. The record is from Rfam.